ACGGGGGGGGCAAGCGUUGUUCGGAAUUACUGGGCGUAAAGGGCUCGUAGGUGGCCAACUAAGUCGGAUGUGAAAUCCCCGGGCUCAACCUGGGAACUGCAUUUGUGACUGCAUCGCUGGAGUGCGGCAGAGGGGGAUGGAAUUCCGCGUGUAGCAGUGAAAUGCGUAGAUAUGCGGAGGAACACCGAUGGCGAAGGCAAUCCCCUGGGCCUGCACUGACGCUCAUGCACGAAAGCGUGGGGAGCAAACAGGA
This 253-nucleotide ribosomal RNA is filed under the name uncultured prokaryote. RNAcentral's name for it is "partial 16S ribosomal RNA". It matches the Rfam family "Bacterial small subunit ribosomal RNA", at positions 525 to 777 of the family's 1533-position model. The record is from RNAcentral.